CAAGUCGAACGGAUCCUUCGGGAUUAGUGGCGGACGGGUGAGUAACACGUGGGAACGUGCCCUUUGGUUCGGAACAACUCAGGGAAACUUGAGCUAAUACCGGAUAAGCCCUACGGGGGAAAGAUUUAUCGCCAUUGGAGCGGCCCGCGUCUGAUUAGCUAGUUGGUGAGGUAAAGGCUCACCAAGGCGACGAUCAGUAGCUGGUCUGAGAGGAUGAUCAGCCACAUUGGGACUGAGACACGGCCCAAACUCCUACGGGAGGCAGCAGUGGGGAAUCUUGCGCAAUGGGCGAAAGCCUGACGCAGCCAUGCCGCGUGAAUGAUGAAGGUCUUAGGAUUGUAAAAUUCUUUCAGCAGGGACGAUAAUGACGGUACCUGCAGAAGAAGCCCCGGCUAACUUCGUGCCAGCAGCCGCGGUAAUACGAAGGGGGCUAGCGUUGCUCGGAAUUACUGGGCGUAAAGGGCGCGUAGGCGGGUCGUUUAGUUAGAGGUGAAAGCCCAGGGCUCAACCCUGGAAUUGCCUUUAAUACUGGCGGCCUUGAGUAUGGCAGAGGUGUGUGGAACUCCGAGUGUAGAGGUGAAAUUCGUAGAUAUUCGGAAGAACACCAGUGGCGAAGGCGACACACUGGGCCAUUACUGACGCUGAGGCGCGAAAGCGUGGGGAGCAAACAGGAUUAGAUACCCUGGUAGUCCACGCUGUAAACGAUGAGUGCUAGUUGUCGGCAUGCAUGCAUGUCGGUGACGCAGCUAACGCAUUAAGCACUACGCCUGGGGAGUACGGUCGCAAGAUUAAAACUCAAAGGAAUUGACGGGGGGCCCGCACAAAGCGGUGGAGCAUGUGGUUUAAUUUCGAAGCAACGCGCAAA
This 865-nucleotide ribosomal RNA is filed under the name uncultured Caulobacter sp. RNAcentral's name for it is "bacterial SSU rRNA". It matches the Rfam family "Bacterial small subunit ribosomal RNA", at positions 58 to 967 of the family's 1533-position model. Lineage: Bacteria; Pseudomonadati; Pseudomonadota; Alphaproteobacteria; Caulobacterales; Caulobacteraceae. The record is from RNAcentral.